UUUGCUACUUCUUGCUCACUGGAUCCAGUGAGCAUAAUGUCAUCAAUGUAAUGAACCAGUGUGAUAUCUUGUGAAAGCAAAAAGCAAUCAAGUUCUCCCUGGAUAAGAUUAUGAUACAAAGCUGGAGAGCUGAUAUAUCCCUGAGGUUGGACAUUAAAGGUAUAUUGCUGGCCUUGCCAGCUGAAGACAGAUUGCUUCUGGUGGGCCUUAUGGACAGGAAUGGAGAAAAAGGCAUUUGCCAAGUCAAUGGCUGCAUACCAGAUACCAGCAGAUGUGUUAAUUUGCUCAAGCAAUGAAACCACAUCUGGUACAGCAGCUACAGUUGGAGUCACCACUUUGUUAAGCUUACGAUAAUCCACUGUCAUUCUCCAAGAUCCAUCUGUCUUCUGCACAGGCCAAAUGGAAGAGUUGAAUGGGGAUGUGGUGGGAAUCACAACCCAUGCAUCCUUCAAGUCCUCGAUAGUGGUACUAAUCUCCGCAAUCCCUCCAGGGAUGCAAUCUUGUUUUGAUUUAGUGUUUUUCUAGGUAGAGUCAUCUCUAAUGGCUUCCAUUUGGCCUUUCCUACCUUAAUAGCUCUCACCCUUCCAGUCAGAGAGCCAAUGUGGGGGUUCUGCCAGCAGCUAAGUAUAUCUAUACCAGUUAUGCAUUCUGGCACUGGGGAAGUGACUGCAGAUGAGUCUGGGGACCCACUGGCCAUGCUGUAAGUCAAUAUGAGCUAAAACUCCAUGAAUUACCUGACCUCCAUAAGCCAUUACUUUAAUUGAAGGACGACAAUAACAUUUUGUGUCCCCCGGAAUCAAUGUCAGCUCAAAAUCAGUGUCCAGUAGUCCACAUAAUGUCUGAUCAUGCACAGUUACCCUGGUAAAAGGCCUCCUUAGGGAAGGAUGGGAGAAACAUUCACAGCAUAAAUUGUUGGUACUAUAGUGGGGUCCUUCCUCUUGCGUACCUUCACUCAAGGGGUUCUGGGUCUGUAAACUGGCUCAAGUCUGGAAAUUGAUUGAUGGGCUGUGAUUCUCUGUUUUUAUAAUUCAAAUUAGCUUUUUGUCCAUUUGACCUAGAAGUUUUCUGCUAAUAUAAAUUAAGCAGGAAUGCAUUAGGUUUCCUAUCAAUUUCACUUCUAGGAACACUGUGAUUAAUUGGCCAGUGCCAGAGCUCUGCAUGAGUCAGGCUGUUCUGAUUGCUUCUUUGUCUCUGUUGUCCAUUACAGUAGCUAGGCCCGCCUUGCCUUUGGUGGUUGCGUGCCACCACUUGGCCCUUGCCACCUCGGCAUCAAAUUGUUCUUGCAUUUAAAUUUUAUAGUUGAAUGAUCUCAGUUCCCACUGUUAGAUCUCACAUACAGAGUAGAGCAAUUACAGGGCUCUUCAGAGAUGCAGGUAUGGCCCUCACAAAUCUGUUUCACAAGGCAUUUGGUCAAGGGUAUAUCUUCUGGAACCUCCCAGAUGGGAUGAGUAGGUCUAAAGUGACUAAACCACUCCACCAUCUCAAUCUCCCUAAGACUUUGGAUUCCUUCCUCUACAUUAAACCAAGGGAGAUCAGACAUAUCCACCUUGCUCACAGUGGGCCAUCUUUAAUCCAUAUUUCAGCUUAUUAAGCAAAUAGACUAUUAGAAUCUUUUUUAACUCCUCAAGCUGAAACAUUAAAUGCAAAGUCCCUACUUAGUGGACCUAAAUCAAUAAAUUCAGCCUGAUCCAACUCUUGUGUAUCUCCCACUAUUAU
This is a long non-coding RNA of Sapajus apella (tufted capuchin), 1716 nucleotides long. RefSeq lists it as uncharacterized. The transcript has 3 exons. The record is from RefSeq and is a predicted model, not a curated record. Lineage: Eukaryota; Metazoa; Chordata; Mammalia; Primates; Cebidae.